UUCAGGAUCUGUGAGGGACCGGGUGA
Molecule: non-coding RNA, 26 nt
Filed under: Rattus norvegicus (Norway rat)
Lineage: Eukaryota; Metazoa; Chordata; Mammalia; Rodentia; Muridae
Source: RNAcentral